RNAcentral lists this ribosomal RNA (338 nucleotides) under uncultured Oceanospirillales bacterium. RNAcentral's name for it is "SSU rRNA". It matches the Rfam family "Bacterial small subunit ribosomal RNA", at positions 29 to 367 of the family's 1533-position model. Lineage: Bacteria; Pseudomonadati; Pseudomonadota; Gammaproteobacteria; Oceanospirillales. The record is from RNAcentral.
ACGUACGCUGGCGGUAUGCUUAACACAUGCAAGUCGAACGGAAACGAUACUAGCUUGCUAGUAGGCGUCGAGUGGCGGACGGGUGAGUAACGCGUAGGAAUCUGCCUGAUAGUGGGGGAUAGCCCGAAGAAAUUCGGAUUAAUACCGCAUAAUCUAUUCGUAGUAAAGUGGGGGACUUUCGAGCCUCACGCUAUCAGAUGAGCCUGCGUAAGAUUAGCUUGUUGGUAGGGUAAUGGCCUACCAAGACUGUGAUCAAUAGCUGAUUUGAGAGGAUGAUCAGCCACAUUGGGACUGAGACACGGCCCAAACUCCUACGGGAGCAGCAGUGGGAAUCUUGC